Molecule: long non-coding RNA, 350 nt
Organism: Hippoglossus stenolepis (Pacific halibut)
Lineage: Eukaryota; Metazoa; Chordata; Actinopteri; Pleuronectiformes; Pleuronectidae
Exons: 3
Source: RefSeq, a predicted model, not a curated record
CACACACACACACACACACACACACACACACACACACACACACACACACACACACACAGAGUCACGUGGUUUCCAGUAAAUGCAGAGAGGAGCAGCAGCCAGUGAAAGUGAAAGUGUUCAGACUUUGUUUUAACUGUAACGAGCAGACGGAGGAAACGUGAAGUCUGAGGCUGAGAGAAGAAGAUUCAGGAGGAACUUCUGUCAGUCAAUCAACAGUUUGACUCAACGCUGUGAUCGGCUGAGUCCAACACAUUAAACCUACAACUGUCUCAGGUUACCGUGACAACAGGGACACAGUACUGAAGAUGAGUGUUUAUGAGGAGGAAGAGGAGGACAGAGCAGAGUCUCCA